UUUAAGUAUAUCAUUUACAAUGAUAAGAUGUUAAUAAACUUUAUUUAAAUUGAAAUUAUUAAUAUUUUUAUUUUUUUUUUA
Molecule: transfer RNA, 81 nt
Filed under: Megoura lespedezae
Lineage: Eukaryota; Metazoa; Arthropoda; Insecta; Hemiptera; Aphididae
Description: tRNA-Val
Source: RNAcentral